Seriola aureovittata is the source of this 172-nucleotide long non-coding RNA. RefSeq lists it as uncharacterized. The transcript is spliced from 3 exons. The record is from RefSeq and is a predicted model, not a curated record. Lineage: Eukaryota; Metazoa; Chordata; Actinopteri; Carangiformes; Carangidae.
UCUGUAAUAUCAUCUGUGACAGAUGACAAAGAUGAGCUGGAGGAAAGUUCAGAUAAAACCAAGUCUGAUUCAGUGACUGAACCUGGUGAAGCUGAACAUCCACAGCAGAACGAUACAACCACAGGACGAGAGUCUGAAAUAAAGUCUGUACCAUCUGCAACUGAUGAGAAAG